Molecule: microRNA precursor, 94 nt
Filed under: Schmidtea mediterranea
Lineage: Eukaryota; Metazoa; Platyhelminthes; Tricladida; Dugesiidae
Description: microRNA sme-mir-2168 precursor
Source: miRBase by way of RNAcentral
AUGCCAGAAAUUCUGAUGCCAUAUUCGUUAAGGUUGUAACCAGACACUUUGGUCACAACCUUUGACGAAUGAGGAGUCAUUUUUGGUAAAUCAU